GAACGGAAAGGCCCUGCUUGCAGGGUGCUCGAGUGGCGAACGGGUGAGUAACACGUGGGUGAUCUGCCCUGCACUUCGGGAUAAGCUUGGGAAACUGGGUAUAAUACCGGAUAGGACCACGGCCUGCAUGGGCUGUGGUGGAAAGCUUUUUGCGGUGUGGGAUGGGCCCGCGGCCUAUCAGCUUGUUGGUGGGGUGAUGGCCUACCAAGGCGACGACGGGUAGCCGGCCUGAGAGGGUGUCCGGCCACACUGGGACUGAGAUACGGCCCAGACUCCUACGGGAGGCAGCAGUGGGGAAUAUUGCACAAUGGGCGCAAGCCUGAUGCAGCGACGCCGCGUGGGGGAUGACGGCCUUCGGGUUGUAAACCUCUUUCACCAUCGACGAAGGCCCGCUUUGGUGGGUUGACGGUAGGUGGAGAAGAAGCACCGGCCAACUACGUGCCAGCAGCCGCGGUAAU
Molecule: ribosomal RNA, 458 nt
Filed under: uncultured bacterium
Lineage: Bacteria
Description: bacterial SSU rRNA
Rfam family: Bacterial small subunit ribosomal RNA
Source: RNAcentral